GACGAACCGUGCGAACGUUGUUCGGAUUCACUGGGCUUAAAGGGCGCGUAGGCGGGUCAUCAAGUCCGGGGUGAAAUCUUUCGGCUCAACCGGAAAAGGGCCUUGGAUACUGGUGAUCUCGAGGGGGGUAGGGGCGUGUGGAACUUCCGGUGGAGCGGUGAAAUGCGUAGAUAUCGGAAGGAACGCCGGUGGCGAAAGCGACGCGCUGGACCCCUUCUGACGCUGAGGCGCGAAAGCCAGGGGAGCAAACGGG
This 253-nucleotide ribosomal RNA is filed under the name uncultured bacterium. RNAcentral describes it as "partial 16S ribosomal RNA". It matches the Rfam family "Bacterial small subunit ribosomal RNA", at positions 524 to 776 of the family's 1533-position model. The record is from RNAcentral.